GGGUCAGUAGGUUGGUCGUGCCACCGGUACGUACUGGUCUCACUGGUUCCUCCUUCCUGAAGAACCGUAAUGCCAUUAAUUUGGUGUUGCGGGGAAACAGGACUGCUACUUUGAAAAAAUUAGAGUGUUUAAAGCAAGCUAACGCUUGAAUACAUUAGCAUGGAAUAAUGAAAUAGGACGAUCGAUCCUAUUUUGUUGGUUUCUAGGAUUGACGUA
RNAcentral lists this ribosomal RNA (216 nucleotides) under Glomeromycotina sp. RNAcentral's name for it is "partial small subunit ribosomal RNA". The stretch from base 47 to 216 matches the Rfam family "Eukaryotic small subunit ribosomal RNA", at positions 693 to 864 of the family's 1831-position model. Lineage: Eukaryota; Fungi; Glomeromycota. The record is from RNAcentral.